UGACCGAGUGGUGAAGCGGGCCUCUGUUCACAAGCUCGCGCUCUGGGAUGGGUCUGCGUCCCAUCAGCUAGUUGGUGAGGUAAUGGCUCACCAAGGCAUCGACGGGUAGCUGGUCUGAGAGGAUGACCAGCCACACUGGAACUGAGACACGGUCCAGACUCCUACGGGAGGCAGCAGUGGGGAAUCUUGCGCAAUGGGCGAAAGCCUGACGCAGCGACGCCGCGUGGGUGAUGAAGGCCUUCGGUUGUAAGCCUGUGGGAGGAACGAACCGUACGGGGCGGAACGACCCUCCGUACCUGACGGUACCUCCUUAGCAAGCAUCGGCUAACUCUGUG
Molecule: ribosomal RNA, 335 nt
Filed under: uncultured bacterium
Lineage: Bacteria
Description: bacterial SSU rRNA
Rfam family: Bacterial small subunit ribosomal RNA
Source: RNAcentral